GCGGAGGAAAAGAAAAUAACAAUGAUUUCCCUAGUAACGGCGAGUGAAGAGGAAAGAGCUCAAAGUUGGAACCUGUUUGGCCUAGCUAAACCGGAUUGUAAACUGUAGAAGUGUUUUCCAGACACGCCUGGUAAAAAAGUCCUUUGGAACAGGGCAUCAUAGAGGGUGAGAAUCCCGUCUUUGGCCAGAGCUGUUGUCUUUUGUGAUACAUUUUCAAAGAGUCAGGUUGUUUGGGAAUGCAGCCUAAAUUGGGUGGUAAAUCUCACCUAAAGCUAAAUAUUUGCGAGAGACCGAUAGCGAACAAGUACCGUGAGGGAAAGAUGAAAAGAACUUUGAAAAGAGAGUUAAACAGUAUGUGAAAUUGUUAAAAGGGAACCGUUUGGAGCCAGACUGGCUUGAUCGUAAUCAAUCUAAGCUUCGGCUUGGAUGCACUUGCGGUCUUUGCCUGCCAAUGACAGUUUUUUUCGGGGGAAAAAACUAGGAGAAAUGUAGCCUCUCGGGGUGUUAUAGUCUCUUAGAAAAUACCCUGAAUUGGACUGAGGAACGCAGUGAAUGCUCUUCGGGGCAAGAUUGCUGAAUGCUUUCGUUGAAGGAUGUUAGAAUUUCUGCCUUGGGUGGUGCUAAUGUUGUUUGAGGCGAAACUCGCUCGGUAUAUUUUUAUUCGCUUAGGUUGUUGGCUUAAUGACUCUAAUGAC
Molecule: ribosomal RNA, 695 nt
Filed under: Mucor piriformis
Lineage: Eukaryota; Fungi; Mucoromycota; Mucoromycetes; Mucorales; Mucoraceae
Description: eukaryotic LSU rRNA
Rfam family: Eukaryotic large subunit ribosomal RNA
Source: RNAcentral